RNAcentral lists this ribosomal RNA (497 nucleotides) under uncultured bacterium. Its description in RNAcentral is "partial 16S ribosomal RNA". It matches the Rfam family "Bacterial small subunit ribosomal RNA", at positions 28 to 507 of the family's 1533-position model. The record is from RNAcentral.
GAUGAACGCUGGCGGCGUGCCUAAUACAUGCAAGUCGAGCGAACGGACGAGAAGCUUGCUUCUCUGAUGUUAGCGGCGGACGGGUGAGUAACACGUGGAUAACCUACCUAUAAGACUGGGAUAACUUCGGGAAACCGGAUCUAAUACCGGAUAAUAUUUUGAACCGCAUGGUUCAAAAGUGAAAGACGGUUUUGCUGUCACUUAUAGAUGGAUCCGCGCUGCAUUAGCUAGUUGGUAAGGUAACGGCUUACCAAGGCAACGAUGCAUAGCCGACCUGAGAGGGUGAUCGGCCACACUGGAACUGAGACACGGUCCAGACUCCUACGGGAGGCAGCAGUAGGGAAUCUUCCGCAAUGGGCGAAAGCCUGACGGAGCAACGCCGCGUGAGUGAUGAAGGUCUUCGGAUCGUAAAACUCUGUUAUUAGGGAAGAACAUAUGUGUAAGUAACUGUGCACAUCUUGACGGUACCUAAUCAGAAAGCCACGGCUAACUACGUG